This 500-nucleotide ribosomal RNA is filed under the name uncultured bacterium. RNAcentral describes it as "bacterial SSU rRNA". It matches the Rfam family "Bacterial small subunit ribosomal RNA", at positions 28 to 518 of the family's 1533-position model. The record is from RNAcentral.
GAUGAACGCUGGCGGUGUGCCUUAUACAUGCAUGUCGAACGAGGCGUAGCAAUACGUCUAGUGGCAAAUGGGUGAGUAAUAAAUAGGUAACCAACCCUUAAGACGGGGAUACCCCAUCGAAAGAUGGAAUAAUACCCGAUAAUGUCCCUUCCGGUGCGCUGGAGGGGAAGAAAGAUGGCGCAAGCUAUCACUUUUGGACGGGCUUAUUUCCUAUCAGCUAGUUGGUGAGGUAACGGCUUACCAAGGCUACGACGGGUAGCUGGUCUGAGAGGACGGUCAGCCACAUUGGGACUGCGACACGGCCCAGACUCCUACGGGAGGCAGCAGUCGGGAAUAUUCGGCCAAUGCGCGAAAGCGUGACCGAGCGACACCGCGUGGGCGACGAAGAUCUUAGGAUUGUAAAGCCCUUUUGCCAGGGAAGAAUACGCUGGAGACAAUAUCAAUAGCGUUUGACGGUACCUGGCGAAUAAGCCGCAGCAAACUACGUGCCAGCAGCCGAC